This 405-nucleotide ribosomal RNA is filed under the name uncultured bacterium. Its description in RNAcentral is "bacterial SSU rRNA". It matches the Rfam family "Bacterial small subunit ribosomal RNA", at positions 28 to 414 of the family's 1533-position model. The record is from RNAcentral.
GAUGAACGCUGGCGGCGUGCUUAACACAUGCAAGUCGAACGAAGCACUUUCAAUUGAUUCUUCGGAAAAAAGAGAUUGUGACUGAGUGGCGGACGGGUGAGUAACGCGUGGGUAACCUGCCUCAUACAGGGGGAUAACAGUUAGAAAUGACUGCUAAUACCGCAUAAGCGCACAGUACCGCAUGGUACGGUGUGAAAAACUCCGGUGGUAUGAGAUGGACCCGCGUCUGAUUAGCUAGUUGGCAGGGUAACGGCCUACCAAGGCGACGAUCAGUAGCCGGCCUGAGAGGGUGAACGGCCACAUUGGGACUGAGACACGGGCCCAAACUCCUACGGGAGGCAGCAGUGGGGAAUAUUGCACAAUGGGGGAAACCCUGAUGCAGCGACGCCGCGUGAGCGAAGAGUA